RNAcentral lists this long non-coding RNA (741 nucleotides) under Panax ginseng (ginseng). Its description in RNAcentral is "long non-coding RNA (PGIN_LNC012894)". Lineage: Eukaryota; Viridiplantae; Streptophyta; Magnoliopsida; Apiales; Araliaceae. The record is from RNAcentral.
AAUCCAAAAGUCAAGCUAUCAGAACAUAAACGGUGUCGGAGAGAAUGCCGGCAUGAUUGCUUGAAUUGGAGCUCGCCUGAAAAAAUUGAACCAGACACACAAUCAAAUAACCACAACACAAAUUAAUAGCUUAACACCACCGAAAGGCUAGUAUGUGUUUGGUAUAUAGAGAGAGAGAAUUACGCAUAGUCGUCGGACCGGCGGUUUCGGACGUGAGAUCUUGGCGUCGGCGAAACUUACCGCUUCAGAUUUCUUUCGGAUCUAGCGACGGCAGCUCGAUUACCUCUCUCCACCACCACGACGGCGUUGUCCUCGGAAAUCGCGUUGAGAGAAGGCCGCCAAUCUGCGGCAGGGCCGGAUUUAGACGCUGCCGUUCUCCAUCGUUUACUGCUGCGGUAGUGGCGAUUUUCCGGCGGAAUUGAGGGUGGAGCAGUAGGCACGAGGGAUCUCGUAUCGUCGGCGGCCGGCGGCAACGAUGAAGUUUUGUAGAAGGAACGACAUGGAGUACAACAUGUGACGAAUUCUAAAAGGAACUUCAUGUUAUACGGUUAAAGGGGUAAGAGGAAUCUAGCAUUGAUGAAUAUGCAUUCGAUCCCUCCCUAGUCCCUAGUCCCUAGUCCCUAGUCCCUCCCGAACGAGCGAUUGUCUUCAAUCUCUUUUUUGUCGACAGAAAGUGAGCCUUUUAUCCUUAUCUCAAAUACUAGUAGUCGUUUUUUUUUUAUUAUUAUUAUUUAAUUUAAU